GCCCAGAUGGCGGAAUUGGUAGACGCACUAGGUUCAGGUCCUAGCGCCAGCAAUGGUGUGGAGGUUCGAGUCCUCUUCUGGGCACCA
RNAcentral lists this transfer RNA (87 nucleotides) under Lautropia mirabilis. RNAcentral describes it as "tRNA-Leu". It matches the Rfam family "tRNA". Rfam says of the family: Transfer RNA (tRNA) molecules are approximately 80 nucleotides in length. Their secondary structure includes four short double-helical elements and three loops (D, anti-codon, and T loops). Further hydrogen bonds mediate the characteristic L-shaped molecular structure. tRNAs have two regions of fundamental functional importance: the anti-codon, which is responsible for specific mRNA codon recognition, and the 3' end, to which the tRNAs corresponding amino acid is attached (by aminoacyl-tRNA synthetases). tRNAs cope with the degeneracy of the genetic code in two manners: having more than one tRNA (with a specific anti-codon) for a particular amino acid; and 'wobble' base-pairing, i.e. permitting non-standard base-pairing at the 3rd anti-codon position. RNAcentral also lists the same sequence under 4 other names. The record is from RNAcentral. Lineage: Bacteria; Pseudomonadati; Pseudomonadota; Betaproteobacteria; Burkholderiales; Burkholderiaceae.